CUGCAAAGCCAAAGGAGAUGAUGGGCUGGGAAGGAAGAGGCUAUAAUUCAAACAAAUCUCUGCCAUAAUAGCUAUGGGAAUACUAAACAUUACUGGCCAAGUAAAUUGCUUUCUGUAUAAGCGUUCUCUUUUUUUUUUUUGAAGUUUGCCCCAGUGUGAAAGUCUCUCUAAGAUUGGUAACUAAUGGGUAAUACACAACAUUCCAAGAUAGAUUCUGGUAUCUUGAGCCAACAUAUCAGGAGAAUGGUACAGAAAAACUGAACAUUACCAGCCCCUCUACCUUAGCUAACUGCAAAAUGAACAACUUCCAAGGACUUGCUGCUACUCUCCCACAAAAUGAAAAGUCUAUGUAUCAAGAUGUAGAAUAGUACAGCUAAGCACAAGGCUCCUCCCCAGUCAAAGAGGAGCAGAGAGUGAAGAUCACUAUCAGUAAAAGCGCUGGCCUAGAGUUCCAUCACUAAACUGAUAUGUAACCCAAGGCAGGUCUUCUUUCUUUGAGUUUCAGUCUCAUCAUCUUUGAAGUGAGAAUAACAGAGCAUAAAAGUCAAACUUGAACCAACA
RNAcentral lists this long non-coding RNA (561 nucleotides) under Homo sapiens (human). RNAcentral describes it as "HSALNT0364981". Lineage: Eukaryota; Metazoa; Chordata; Mammalia; Primates; Hominidae. The record is from RNAcentral.